UACGAAGGGGGCUAGCGUUGCUCGGAAUCACUGGGCGUAAAGGGCGUGUAGGCGGCCCGCUAAGUCAGGUGUGAAAGGCCUGGGCUCAACCCAGGAAAUGCGCCUGAGACUGACGGGCUUGAAUCCGGGAGAGGAUGGUGGAACUCCCAGUGUAGAGGUGAAAUUCGUAGAUAUUGGGAAGAACACCCGUGGCGAAGGCGGCCAUCUGGACCGGUAUUGACGCUAAGGCGCGACAGCGUGGGGAGCAAACAGG
RNAcentral lists this ribosomal RNA (253 nucleotides) under uncultured bacterium. RNAcentral's name for it is "partial 16S ribosomal RNA". It matches the Rfam family "Bacterial small subunit ribosomal RNA", at positions 524 to 776 of the family's 1533-position model. The record is from RNAcentral.